RNAcentral lists this ribosomal RNA (487 nucleotides) under uncultured bacterium. Its description in RNAcentral is "bacterial SSU rRNA". It matches the Rfam family "Bacterial small subunit ribosomal RNA", at positions 28 to 526 of the family's 1533-position model. The record is from RNAcentral.
AAUGAACGUUGGUGGCGUGGAUUAGGCAUGCAAGUCGUGCGAGAAGGUGGCUUCGGCCACCGGACAGCGGCGAACGGGGUAGUAAGGCGUCGGAAUGUACCCACAGGUCUGGGAUAGCGGCGGGAAACUGCCGGUAAUACCGGAUGACCUCUUUGGAGCAAAGGUGUGACUCCGCCUGUGGAGCAGCCGACGUGAUACCAGCUAGUUGGUGAGGUAAUGGCUCACCAAGGCUCAGACGUCUAGGGGGUGUGAGAGCAUGGCCCCCACCACUGGGACUGAGACACUGCCCAGACACCUACGGGUGGCUGCAGUCGAGAAUCUUCGGCAAUGGGCGCAAGCCUGACCGAGCGACGCCACGUGCGGGAUGACGGCCCUCGGGUUGUAAACCGCUGUCGAGGGGGAUGAAGUCACGUGAGGCAAUCCUCAUGUGUUGACAGAGCCCUGGAGGAAGCGCGGGCUAAGUACGUGCCAGCAGCCGCGGUAAUAC